GUGGGGAAUCUUGCGCAAUGGGCGAAAGCCUGACGCAGCCAUGCCGCGUGAAUGAUGAAGGUCUUAGGAUUGUAAAAUUCUUUCACCGUGGACGAUAAUGACGGUACCCGGAGAAGAAGCCCCGGCUAACUUCGUGCCAGCAGCCGCGGUAAUACGAAGGGGGCUAGCGUUGCUCGGAAUUACUGGGCGUAAAGGGCGCGUAGGCGGACAGUUUAGUCAGAGGUGAAAGCCCAGGGCUCAACCUUGGAAUUGCCUUUGAUACUGGCUGUCUUGAGUACGGGAGAGGUGAGUGGAACUCCGAGUGUAGAGGUGAAAUUCGUAGAUAUUCGGAAGAACACCAGUGGCGAAGGCGACUCACUGGCCCGUUACUGACGCUGAGGCGCGAAAGCGUGGGGAGCAAACAGGAUUAGAAACCCCAGUAGUCC
This 425-nucleotide ribosomal RNA is filed under the name uncultured bacterium. Its description in RNAcentral is "partial 16S ribosomal RNA". It matches the Rfam family "Bacterial small subunit ribosomal RNA", at positions 354 to 796 of the family's 1533-position model. The record is from RNAcentral.